UGGUCUUUGAACAACAAAAUAAUGGAAGUGAAAGAUUAUGCAAAACAAUUAUAUUAUUAUUUUUUAGGCCCUGAAAGCUUUGAUAUUUUGCAUGGACGUUCAAAAGCUACUAUGCUUUUGAUUAUAAACAAUGCAGGGCAAGUAAUUUUAUCCUCAUUUUUCUUCAAAUAUGCAGGUAAAGUAAAAUAAAUAAAUUAUAUUUCUUUCACAAAAAUUCAAAAUAUAAUUUAUUUAUAUGUUUUGUUUGUGUCAUGCAGAUACAAUUUUAAAAAAGUAUUCAUCGACUGUUGCAACAAUUUUCACAGGCGUUGAAUCUGCUACUUUGUUUGGUCAUACUUUGACUAUAAAUUUCUUGCUAGGAAUUUCUACUGUUUUUAUUUCAAUGCACCAGGUAUGUGAUUCCGAUAGAAUUGGAAUUCAAGAUGCAGGUGUGAAUAUGUUUGUUUUUUUUCAUUUUUCUUUAAUAAAUAUUUUGAGUACUUAUAUAUAAAAUCUAUAAUACUUGCUUUUUUUUCAGGCUAUUCAUCGUUUAGAUUCUGAUGCAACACAACCACUUCUUCCUACUUAAGUCAACAGUUGACUUUUGAAAUGAAAGAAGAUAAUUAAAAAUAUGAGUUACUUGUCACGUAUACGGUUUAUGAGGUUUAAUGUAUUUUGGUUAGUAGAUUAUUGUUGAUAUAACUUAUAAGUUGUGUUUUUGAAGGUGAAAAAGAGAUGUUUUUAGUUUUUACAUAUGCUAUACUAUGCUCUAUGGCUCUAACUUUGUCAUUUUUUAAAUUUGUCUUAUUUUAGUCAUUUGAACCUUCUGUGGGUGAACUUCAACACCCAAACUCGUGGCUCUGGCUGCUGGUUUCCAUUAGCUCUAACACAAGGUUUGGGUGUUGCAUUUACCUUGAGGCGUUUUAUUAUUUUCCAUUCAAACUACAUAGUUUUCAAGAUUUUGUUUCGAAAUAAGAAGGUUGGAAUGACAAACCCAAAAAAUGAAGGUCGACUUUGUUCUAGAUUCGCGUUGUAAUAAUGGAUGCCAAGUUUUAUCUAUGAAGCUUUCAUAACUAAAGUAUCUUUUUUAUAGGUUAAUAAGGAUCUUCAGUUGGCUAAACCUUAGACUCAAGGAAGGGGAAGGUUCUUAUCAUAUAGGGCAAAAUUUCAUGUGGUUUUAUGUUGAUUUUUUUCGCCUUACAGCAUUUGCUCCAUUGGACUGAAUUUUUUCUCAGAUAGAUAUGUUACUGGAUGUUAGCUAUUUUUCCUCAAUAGGAAAUGUAAAAUUAGAGGUAUAGUGUGUUGAUCUUUAUGAUCAUAUCCCGGUUGCAUAUUGAAAUUAUGGUUAUUCUUUUUUGUGUCUUUUCUUUAAUAAUCCUCAAAUGGAACUCACUAACUUUAAUGAAAAUAAGAAUGGAAUUGAAUUGAGUUCCUUUUGUCAAUCACAGUGAAUGGUAAAAUCCAUCAAAUAUGAAAUUUAAUGGAAUCUGAUAGAAUUGAAUUUUUUCCAUCGGAUCAGAAUCAAAAACUAACACGCCUCAUUAUUUCCUUGGCUUUGUUGCAGGUCUGUUUUAUCUAUCUUCCCUUCAAUGACAUUAAAAAAAACACUUCAUUUUUGCACCUGAAAUUGAAGAACUACUGUUGAACCUGUGAGCAUCUUCUCAUCAUUUUUUUUGCUUUUGUUUGCUAUCAAUUUUGAUUUUCUGGUUUAACAGGUUUGAGCUUUUAUAUUUCAAUUUCCCAUCUACAAACAUUUUUUGGUUAGCCAUCAUCAAAGAUAAAUCAUGUAUAAGCCUUUUUUCAUCACAUGAGUUCCUUUACCUAAUUUUAAAUAGUAAACUUUUAAGUAUUUCAGUAUUUGUAUAAAUGUUGUUUAUGCAACGACUUUUAUUGUUGAUGAAGCAAACAUACACGCAUAAAAUCUCUUAAUCCCAAAACAUGUAUGAACUAUUGAGUCUUGAUCCCCCAAGCCCUUACUUUUUAUUUAAAAUGUCAAUUUGGUUUCUUUUCAAUGGAUUAUAAACAUCGCCAACCAGAGCCCCACCAAUGAAAUAACUAUUAGUGUUAAAUCUUUGCAACAUUUACUUUCAAAAGCUAUAAUUUUGACAAUUUUAAUCUUUAUUGAACUGUAUAAUUGUCUGUUUUCAUGUGGUGCAACUUAUUACUCAAUGAUUCAACUCAGCACACCUUUAUUUUAAGUUUGUGGCCUACAAAAUAUGAUUUUUUUUAUUGUGAUUGAUUUCAGAUCGAGAGAUUUGACAAUCCAUAUUAUGUGGGUUAAUUUCGGUUACAUUGUAAAAAUAUUUAAUGAUUGUUUUCUUUAGUUUAGAUUUUUUGAGCAAACUGCAUUAGAUGUUAGAUUGAAAGGACAUAUUUGUAAUGAAAAUGAAAGUUGGAUGCUAUAAUUCAGCAACACUUAAAAUUUUGUUGCUAAUCAUUAGUCAUUUAGUGCUUUUUCGAGAUAAAUUCAAGAAAUGGCAAUAUACUAUUAUUGAUCUGUUCAAUAUAACAUGCUACUUUCAAGUUUAUUCGCUAGGAUCUAAAUAAAUAAUCUACAUAAAGUACAAGUCCUUCAUCCACUGCACAUUUUGUAAGUCCCUUUUUCUUAGUCUGUAACAUUUUUUGUUGUUUUUCAUUUGGUAUUAGUAGAUGACAAGUCAUUUUCUAUGCAUAACAGUGAUCAUAUAAAGAAAAAUAACAUGCUAUUGCUGAAUUAUUCUUGUGGUGUCUUACAAUUAACAUCAUGUUUAUUUGGUCGGUGUGAUCUGAUUAUUUUUUUCGCCUUCCCAAAACAUUGCUUACAUUUAGUAUUUCUCUUUAUGUUAAUAAUCUUUAUUGCAUCAUAAAAGCAACUACGAAUCUUUUUACUGUUGGUGUUUGUUGAACAAAUAUUGAAGAGGCUAAAGUUGAAUCAGAUUAAAGCUCAUUAAAGGAAAUCCUGAUUUAAACUCCUAUCAAUUUAUGUUGGGUUUUGCUUGUGAAUCAACAAUUGCUUCCAGUUUUGCAAAAUAGUUUUAGAGAACCACACUAUACAUACAUGAAGACAUGCCCAUUUUUGGUUAUUACACUUUUGCAAAGAUUAUAAAAUAAACUCCUAUUGCAGUUUUCUAGCGGAAGUUGUAAAUUGUUGGCAAUAAUUUUGUUAUUCAAUCUCCUCCCUCAAAAAGGCAAACUUUUAUUUGCAUAAUCUAAUAGAAAUGUUUAUUUUUC
This 3189-nucleotide long non-coding RNA is filed under the name Lactuca sativa (garden lettuce). RNAcentral's name for it is "long non-coding RNA (LSAT_LNC008302)". Lineage: Eukaryota; Viridiplantae; Streptophyta; Magnoliopsida; Asterales; Asteraceae. The record is from RNAcentral.